This 391-nucleotide ribosomal RNA is filed under the name uncultured bacterium. RNAcentral's name for it is "bacterial SSU rRNA". It matches the Rfam family "Bacterial small subunit ribosomal RNA", at positions 28 to 420 of the family's 1533-position model. The record is from RNAcentral.
GACGAACGCUGGCGGCGUGCUUAACACAUGCAAGUCGAGCGGUAAGGCCCUUUCGGGGGUACACGAGCGGCGAACGGGUGAGUAACACGUGGGUGACCUGCCCUCAGCUCUGGGAUAAGCCUGGGAAACCGGGUCUAAUACUGGAUAUGACUCCAUGACGCAUGUUGUGGGGUGGAAAGCCUUGUGCGGCUGAGGAUGGGCCCGCGGCCUAUCAGCUUGUUGGUGGGGUGAUGGCCUACCAAGGCGACGACGGGUAGCCGGCCUGAGAGGGCGGCCGGCCACACUGGGACUGAGACACGGCCCAGACUCCUACGGGAGGCAGCAGUGGGGAAUCUUGCGCAAUGGGCGAAAGCCUGACGCAGCGACGCCGCGUGAGGGAUGACGGCCUGGU